Molecule: ribosomal RNA, 253 nt
Filed under: uncultured bacterium
Lineage: Bacteria
Description: partial 16S ribosomal RNA
Rfam family: Bacterial small subunit ribosomal RNA
Source: RNAcentral
UACGUAGGGUGCAAGCGUUGUCCGGAAUCAUUGGGCGUAAAGCGCGCGUAGGUGGCUUCGUAAGUCCGUUGUGAAAGUCAAAGGCUCAACCUUUGAAUGCCGAUGGAUACUGCGAAGCUAGAGUACGGAAGAGGCGAGUGGAAUUCCUGGUGUAGCGGUGGAAUGCGCAGAUAUCAGGAGGAACACCCGUAGCGAAGGCGGCACUCUGGGCCGGUACUGACGCUGAGGAGCGAAAGCGUGGGGAGCAAACAGG